Molecule: long non-coding RNA, 2293 nt
Organism: Passer domesticus (house sparrow)
Lineage: Eukaryota; Metazoa; Chordata; Aves; Passeriformes; Passeridae
Exons: 2
Source: RefSeq, a predicted model, not a curated record
CUCCUGCCUGCUCCUGCCUUGGGGUGACCCUGGCCAAGGUCUGCAGACACGGGCCUGGAGUCCUUGGGCAGUGCGUGGUCAUUCCCUGGUGUUGCAGGGCUAAUCCCUGAAGAGAGCCUACAAGAAGGAUGAAGAGAGACUAUUUAUAAGGACAUGUAGUGACAGGGCAAGGGAGGAUGGUUUUAAAGUGAAAGAGAAUAGGUUUAGGUUUGGUAUUAGGAAGAAAUUCCUUACUGAGAACAUGGUGAGACACUGGCACAGGCAGCACAGUGAAGCUGUGACUCUUCAAGGCCAAGUUCCAGCUCCAUUCAAAUAAUUUCCAGUAAUUUUCCUUGCAGUCUGCUGAUACUGGCAAAGUUACUGCUGUGAAAAGUUAAAUCUCCUAAAACAGCUUUGAAUUGGAGUUGGGGAUAAACAAUGUUUAUUUGACUGAAAGCUUUAAUCAUUCUUCUAGCUAUCUGUUUUCUCAUUUCCCCAGUUACAAUUCCUGGGGUAGCACUAAUUGAGCCUUACUGAAAUUGAUCUCCGAGCUUUAUAAUUUGGACAGUUCUCCCACUUCCUCUUCCGUAGCCUUGAUCACUUGACAACCAUCUACCUGGGAUAAUAACUUGAUGCCUUGUAGCUUUUAAAGAAUAAUGCCUCAUCACACACAAAUAUAUGUGUAUAUAUCAUACUUUGUGUUACAAGAUACAGAAUUGGCAGUACAUGCUAGUGAGAUACUCUCCUAAUCACCAGAAGAAAUUUGGUUUCUCUUGUGUGGAGCUGGAGGCAGCUUUCCAUCACAUCUGUUUGAUUUGAUAAUUUUAUUUAUUGUUGGUCUGGUGUCUUUGACUCCAGCCAUGACAAUCUAAAAACCAAGCAUGGUAUCUUUCUGGUUUAACAAAUGCAGGUAAGAUUACAAACAGAACCAUCUGAAGCAAAGCCGAGAUAGACAACAAGUAACAAUAGUGACAGGGUGCAAGUGGGAGACAGAAAUAAUGAACAAUUAUCCUCUGUAGUUAUCAGAGUUAAGGAGGUUGGAACACUUCCUUGUGUAAGAGAUUCACUUGAGACGGGGUUCUGUUAAACUUGUUCCCAGAUAUUUUGUGUGUUGUCUUUUAACAUUUGCUCUCAUGUAACAAACAGAUAAGCUUUAUGUUUUAUUUUAACUGAGAUUCUGUUAAAGUUUUGUAUGUACUUUUUCUUUUCCUUUUGCAUGGUGGUAGGUUUUUUUCCCUGUUUUUUUUUUUUUUUUUUUUUUUUGUUUGUUUGUUUGUUUCCCUUAAAGGAAAGGUCCUAAUACAUCACUCACCAUCAUACAAUAGAGGGUUAAAAUUUUGGAAACAUUAAAUACAGCACCUUUCACUAUUAGACAGGUAGGAUCAUCAUAUUACAUUCACCUGCAACAUCUUCAAUAAAAUACUGGUUUUAUUCUGUCUCAGUGUUAUUCUGCUACUGGACAUUCUCUCACAAACCCUUAUAUAAACAUGCCUAACAAACCCCCAGCACUCAGCCUUUGGCUGCCUACAAUGUGGAUGGCAUUUAAUGAGCUUCCAGGAAGUGCAGGCCAUUAUUCAACCACAGCCACCUCUGUGGCUGAGAGAACAGUGCAGACCCUCUCAAACAAAGCUCCCAGUACCUGAGCUCAGAAACUCCUCUUCCAAAGCCUGUACAGCACUGUUGUUGUUAUUGGGUAACACUCAAUGCAGCAACAGUAUACAAAGGAGCACUAAUGUAUUUACAGUCAUUCCAGAGGCUUCAUCUCACUGUCCUCCUUCCAAAAGUGUUCAUAGCACUGAGUUUCAUGACUAAAAAGCCACCAAGAAACCCCAAGUACCAUUCAUGCUUGAACAGGUGUAACUUCAUUGUGAGAGGCACAGUCCUCAGCCCAGGAUCCUCUGUAGCUUGUCACCUGUGUGAGACACUGGACUUGUCUAGAAAUAAAACUGAAGACAGACUUUUCACAGAAGAGGAGACAAAAGGACAGGCAGCCAAUCAAUAACAUUGCUCAAUGACUCAAAGACCUGGGUCCCUGAAGGGUGCAAAAGGCAGUUCCAAAUUCAGCAUGUGGUCACCCAGCAACAAGAACCCAGGAAACCUGAUGACUCCCAAAUUGGCCUCCUUUGUCCUCAGCUGCACCACAAGUAAUCCUGGUUGGACUAGCCAGACAUACACAUCUUAGUCCUUGUUAAAAUGCAGGUAUGAAAAACAAGUGUGAAAGACUGACUGAAUGCAUUCUGCAGGAGAAUAAGCGUGACUGACUGAAAUCAGUUUUGUUUAAAAUAAAAUCACCUUCCCCUUCUAUACAGUCUCA